UAAAAGCUCGUAGUUGGAUUUCUGCUGAGGACGACCGGUCCGCCCUCUGGGUGAGUAUCUGGCUUGGCCUUGGCAUCUUCUUGGAGAACGUAGCUGCACUUGACUGUGUGGUGCGGUAUCCAGGACUUCUACUUUGAGGAAAUUAGAGUGUUUCAAGCAGGCACACGCCUUGAAUACAUUAGCAUGGAAUAAUAAGAUAGGACCUUGGUUCUAUUUUGUUUGUUUCUAGAGCUGAGGUAAUGAUUAAUAGGGAUAGUUGGGGGCAUUCGUAUUUAACUGUCAGAGGUGAAAUUCUUGGAUCUGUUAAAGACAGACUACCGCGAAAGCAUUUGCCAAGGAUGUUUUCAUUGAUCAAGAACGAAAGUUAGGGGAUCGAAGACGAUCAGAUACCGUCCUAAUCUUAACCAUAAACCAUGCCGACUAGAGAUUGGAGGUCGUUAUCUUUACGACUCCUUCAGCACCUUAUGAGAAAUCAAAGUCUUUGGGUUCCGGGGGGAGUAUGGUCGCAAGGCUGAAACUUAAAGGAAUUGACGGAAGGGCACCACCAGGA
This 550-nucleotide ribosomal RNA is filed under the name uncultured eukaryote. Its description in RNAcentral is "SSU rRNA". It matches the Rfam family "Eukaryotic small subunit ribosomal RNA", at positions 621 to 1175 of the family's 1831-position model. The record is from RNAcentral.